RNAcentral lists this ribosomal RNA (433 nucleotides) under uncultured bacterium. RNAcentral's name for it is "bacterial SSU rRNA". It matches the Rfam family "Bacterial small subunit ribosomal RNA", at positions 355 to 796 of the family's 1533-position model. The record is from RNAcentral.
UCGAGGAUCUUCGGCAAUGGGCGCAAGCCUGACCGAGCGACGCCGCGUGUGCGAUGAAGGCCUUCGGGUUGUAAAGCACUGUCGAGGGGGAGGAAAGCCGCAAGGCUUGACCUAUCCCUGGAGGAAGCACGGGCUAAGUUCGUGCCAGCAGCCGCGGUAAGACGAACCGUGCGAACGUUGUUCGGAAUCACUGGGCUUAAAGGGCGCGUAGGCGGGCGGUUUCGUCGGGGGUGAAAUCCUGCCGCUCAACGGCAGCACUGCCCCCGAUACGGGCCGUCUCGAGUGAGGUAGGGGCAUGUGGAACUUCCGGUGGAGCGGUGAAAUGCGUAGAUAUCGGAAGGAACGCCGGUGGCGAAAGCGACGUGCUGGACCUCUUCUGACGCUGAGGCGCGAAAGCCAGGGGAGCAAACGGGAUUAGAUACCCCCGUAGUCC